This 199-nucleotide non-coding RNA is filed under the name Brevibacillus choshinensis. Lineage: Bacteria; Bacillati; Bacillota; Bacilli; Caryophanales; Paenibacillaceae. The record is from RNAcentral.
UACAUAUUGAUGCGGAUAGGUGUCUAGCUACGAAAUAUUGGCAGACUUAAUAGGGAAGUCGGUGCGAUUCCGACGCGGUCCCGCCACUGUAACAGGGGAGCUCCAUUUGACCAAAUUUGCCACUGAUCGACGUGAUCGGGAAGGCAGGAUGAAGCGGUGAUCCUAGAGCCAGGAGACCUGCCUAACCGAUGACACGAGG